RNAcentral lists this transfer RNA (68 nucleotides) under Marmota monax (woodchuck). RNAcentral's name for it is "tRNA.Ala". The stretch from base 5 to 65 matches the Rfam family "tRNA", at positions 6 to 65 of the family's 71-position model. From Rfam's summary of the family: Transfer RNA (tRNA) molecules are approximately 80 nucleotides in length. Their secondary structure includes four short double-helical elements and three loops (D, anti-codon, and T loops). The record is from RNAcentral. Lineage: Eukaryota; Metazoa; Chordata; Mammalia; Rodentia; Sciuridae.
GGACUGUAGCUCAGUGGUAGAGCGCUUGCCUAGCAUGCGUGAGGCACUGGGUUCGAUCCCCAGCACCA